Molecule: long non-coding RNA, 6837 nt
Filed under: Homo sapiens (human)
Lineage: Eukaryota; Metazoa; Chordata; Mammalia; Primates; Hominidae
Description: HSALNT0371745
Source: RNAcentral
CGUCGCCCGCCAGCCCCGGGACAGCCCGCCUGGCGCGCGGGGCUCUGCGCGCUGCGACCCUCCCCGGCAGUCCCGCCCGCCUCUCCUCGCCCUCUCUCUGCCUGGCCUCCAACUUUGCCUCUCGCUAUCCUCUCCGCCGGCGCCCCCUUUCCCGGCGGUCCCCGGGAUGGUCCCCGGCACCCCGAGGACGCCGAGGUUACGGGAAGUUCGGGGACUGGCGGGAGAAGGGGUUUGGGGGUGGUCCGCGGCGAGGGGCGCGGGGUGCAUCUUCUCUUCCUUUUAUGGGCUGCCACACUUGUGUAUCCCUUCUUCCUUGAAUUUAACCAGGAGUGAGCAGUGGACAGCUUCUUCCCUAUGAGAAGGAGGUGAAGCAGGACCUGAAAUCCCGUGCUCAGCUCCCACAUGCCCCGUGUCCAGGACAAGUCCUUUGCUGAAUCAGCGGCAGACACCACCCGGAGCCCUGCGGGAGCCUUUCCCUGUUCUUCCAGCAUGGAUCUGAAACUCCCUUCCCACUUUCUGCAGCCUCCCAGAGAUAGUUCAGGCUCCAGCCUCAUGUGAUAGCAUGAAGAGAAACUGGUUCCAACAGCUGUGUGCUCUGCUGCCCUCAUCCCAAACAACAGUUUAAAUGCACAAUUACGCUUUUCUCUAAGGCCCAAAAUAGGAUAGGAAAGAUCGUUUUGCUAUCCCUGAAUGCCUGUCACCCUUGUUUCGUAAGGAAGUCAGUCCCAGAAUAGUUGUUCUGCUCCCUCCCUUCUAAUAAGUGCUGCGCUGAGUGUGCUUGCUUUGCCAGAUGGUUAAAACAGAGCAGGGGAUAGAAGGACAGAUGUCUUCACCCUCAUGGAGUUCACCUUCCAGUAGGAGGAGGCGAUAGGCCGGGGUCUGCACAUGUGCGUGCUACAGCCUGUUCCACGUAGAGACAGGAUUUCACCAUGUUGGCUAGGAUGGUCUCGAUCUCCUGACCUUGUGAUCCGCCCCUCCCUCAGCCUCCCAAAGUGCUGGGAUUACAGGCGUGAGCCACUGCACCCUGCCAGAAAACUCAUUCUUCUACUCCAUCCUACAGUUUUCCCUAAGAGAGAAACAAUAAAACGCCACCACGACCAAUGGCAAAAAGCUGGCACCCACUCCACGACUUUUCAUAUCUACACGUUUGUACAGCUUUAUUUUUAAGCAUUCUGAAAUUCUAUGCAGGAGAGACCCCAGCUAGGUUUAGGGAGUCCUAGGGUUUGUGGAGUAAAUGAAGUUUCUCCCUAGAAUUAGGGAGGGUAGAGACAGGCAGAGAACUGACAAUCCUAACAGCUGCUGUCCUCAGAGCCACUGUUUCUGAGAGCUGCUCGCUGAGUGCUUCUAGCGAGUUAAAUGGUGUUCGCCCAAAAGACCUGUUCACGUCCUGAUCCUGGGAACCUGUGGCUGUGAUCUUAUUUGGAAAAAGCUCUACAUUACGUCUUUGCAGAAGUAAUCAUGUUAAGGAUCUUGAGAGGACGUGACCCUGAAUUAUCCGGCUGUGCUUGACAUCCAAUGACUGGUGAUGUUGUAAGAGAAAGACGGAGGGAGAUGUAAGAUAUGAGAGAAGGCCACGCCGAGACUGGAGUGAUGUGGCCGUGAGCCGAGGAAUGCCUGGAGCCACCAGAAGCUGGCAAAGGCAGAAGGAGCCUCCUCUGGACCCUGUGGUGGGUACGCAGCCUGGCAGAUAUAUUCAUUUUGGACUUCUGGCCUCCAGGGCUGUGAGAGAAUACAUUUCUGCAGUUUUAAGCCACGCAAUCUGUGUCCCUGGGAAGCCCAAAUAGGGCGAGACCUUUUGCCAAGUGGUCUCCAAGUGUCACGUCAUCGAAUCCUUCUCCCGGGCUUGUGCCAUAGUCUUUCCACUUUAGAGAGGAGGAAACGGAGGCUCUGGGGCACAAAGCCAGUCAGUGGCGGGGCCUGACUUUCAACCCAGCCUGCAUGGGGUCAGAGAACCCACUUUCCCCGUGGGGCCUGCGGCCUAUGCUAAGGAUGCUUGUUCAUCUCUCCUGGGCCCGGGAGUGGUUCUUCUGGCCUAGAAGGCAAGAGAAGCCAGUCUUUCGGUUUCAAGGUUUCCCAUUAGUGGAGUCAAGCAAAAAUGGUGUGUUGCGCUUCUUCCUGAGCUCAGCCUGGGAGCACGGCCUUAACAUGCUCAGUGGAUCCCAAGACGGCAGCAUGGCGGUGCCAGCCUGGCAGCCUUAGCUCCUUGCAGCUGUGCUUGUGAAGGGAGCAGUGAGUGGCUUCCCUCUGUGACCACCUUGGGUCCUAAGUUUCACUGGGGCUGGGAUCCAUGCGUCUUGCAAUUGGCUAGGAAUUUCCCGGGCUUUCCCUCCCUUCCCUGUUCAGGGCACUGGGUGUGAGGCAUUGCAUCCGUUCUUCUGCUCACCUGCUUCCCCCUAAGAGUGUGAGCUGUAUAAAGGCAGGAACCAAACAGGAGCCUCCACGUGUUCCCAGUUCAAGGGCAGUGUCCCUUGUGUGUUUCUUCAAUAAUUCAGUGGAUGACUUAUUCUGCACGGACACUGCACACACUCGGCCCUGCCGUCUCCGGAGCUGGGAGGUGUGGAGCUGGCUCCUGACCUAUUUACACACUGAGGAGGGAUGUGGAAAACAGGAGGAGUCCCAGGGCUCCAAUGCAAAGAGGAGCCUCUUCAUUCCCUCUGCCGUGGCCGUGCAAGGGACAGCGCCUUGUGGGAUUGUGUCCUCCACCCAAUUAUCCUUAGCAUUAGUUUGCUAAGGAUAAUGGCCUCCAGCUCCACCCAUGUCCCUGCAAAGGACAUGAUCUCAUUCCUUUCUGUGUCUGCAUAGUAUUCCAUGGUGUAUAUGUACCGCGUUUUCUUUAUCGAGUCUAUCAUUGAUGGGCGCUUCAGUUGAUUCCAUGUCUUUGCUACUGUGACUCGUGCUGCAAUGAGCAUUCGCGUGCAUGCCUUUAUGGUGGAAUUAUUUCUAUUCCUUUGGGUGCAUACCCAGUCAUGGGAUUGCUGGGUCAAAUGGCAUUUCUGCCUCUAGGUCUUUAAGGAAUUGCCACGCUGUCUUCCACAAUGCAAGCAAGACGUUAUUGAAAGUGUAAAGGGGGCUGCUAAUUACGCUGGGGCAGGCGGGGCAAACCAGGACCCUGCCAGGCGAGUCUAGGCCAUGGCCCCACACCAGAAGAUGAGGGCUGGAGACUCCUGGAGAGGAAUCUGAGUGGCGAGACCACCUGCAUUCAUUAUGUGUCAACUCUGCCAGGUGACAGUCCCCAGUGAGCCCAUCAAACAUGAACCUAGGUGCUGUUGGGAAGGUCUUUGGAUGCCAUUAACAUCUACAAUCAGUUGGUUUUCAGUAGAGGAGAUUAUCCUCAAGAAUGUGGGCGGGCCUCAUCCAGUGAGCUGAAAGGCCUUGAGAGCAGAACUAGGAUUUUGGAGGAGGAUGAAGUGUUGCCUCCGGACCGCAGCGUCACCUCUUGCCUGGGAAUUUCCAGCUUCCUUUUCAGACUUCGGACUUGCCUCCAAGCUCCCUGAAUCUUUUCAUAUAUUUAUGUCCUAUUGCAGAUUGUGUUUCUCUGGCUGGACUGUAACUGAUGAGGAGGACUGAAAUUCCAGGCUUGGUUGUAUAGCAUAUAAGUGAGGUCAUUUGGGUCUGGGGAGCUGGGGGGGGGGUCCUUCAGCUGCAUGAGUGUGACCUGCACCAAGGUGCCUGGCUACCUGGGGCGAGGGGGCUGCCAUCUAGCCCACACCCCACUCCUAGGCCGUGCACCCUGGCAUGGGUCUAUGUCUGGCUCAAGGAAGGGUUCCCUCCUCCCUCCAAUGUGCACAGAGACCUUGAGAUCCCAUCCACCUAACCCUGUGCCCUCAGAAGCCUCCUCUGAGAGGGGGCACCUUUUCCUAAUUCUCACAAAGGCUAGUGGCUACCUUGUAGAUAGCCUUGGAUGUGUUAGGACACUUUUCUGAACAUCAGUUCCUUAUCUGUAAGAUGGGAGUUGUGUCCUCAAUGGGUAAUUAGAGAUUAUUCAUGGGAAAUCCUAUCACGGUAUCUACCACGGGGAGACUCACAAGUGCUGAUCUUUGCUGGUGUUGCUGCAUUUGUUAUUGAAUGCAUUCGUUAGGAGUCUUGUUAGUAAGUGACAAAAAUCCAACUCAAAUUGGCUUACACUAAACAAGUUUCCUGCAUCUGGGAGUAUAAAGGGUGACGCUUUGGCAGAGGCUGGCUCUGGAAAACGAGGACGCACAUUUGUGCCCCCACUUUCCUCUGUGCGGCGUCCUUCUCUUCAAGGCUUCCCCCAGUUUGGCAAACACGGCCCCAGCAAUGUCAAGCUGAGAGCACCUUUUAAGAAAGACCCUUCCUUCCAUGUGUUUUGGCAAAAGUCCCAUGAAGCAGUAUGAGUGGCCCGGUUUGGGUCAUGGGCUCACCCCUAAACCAGCCGCUCUGGAUGGAUUAGUUCCAAUUGGACAGGCCAUGGUCUUGGACUCUUUGGGUGAGUGUGGGAGGGUGUGGGAGGGAAGAUUCAUUGAACCUCAUCUCUACUACAUGGUACAGCUCCCUGGAAGAAAGAGGGGCUCCAUUACCAGAAGGAAACAAGGAAUUUUAUGGGGAACCACAUUAUCACUACCACAAUCUACCAUGCUAUACAUAAGAAAUGCACCUUGGUCUUAAUGCACGGUCUUGAGGGGGUGCAAGCUGAAUCCAAUUCCCAGCGUCUGGGUCAGUGUCCCUCAUGGGGGAGCUGCCUCACUUAAGAUUCCUUUGGAUAGGUAAGGUAGAACACCAAGCUGCGCGGGAUUAUGAAAAGAAAGGGAGAAAUUCACUGGCUCGCAGAAUUGAAAAGCUGAGAUCCAGCUGUACUUUUAAGCCUGAGCCAUUCUCCAGCUCCUGGCCCUGCCUCUCGCUGUCUUGGCUUCACCCUUCACAGACUGCCCUGCAAGGACCGAGGUGGAGUCUCAUUGGACUGGCUCAGGUCGUGUGCCUAGUUCUGAACCAUCCACUGUUUCCAGAGGGAUGGGGUAUCCUGAUUAGCCAGGAAGAAGUCAGACGUCUCUGAGCUAACUUUACUGAGAAUUGGGUAGAGGAGGUCCCCCAAAAGUAAAGUUGGGCACUGCAGUUCAGGAGAAGGGUGAUCACUGGUUGCUAAGCAACCAUAAAGUAGCCAGCAUCUCCUGUGGGUUGGGGUUUGCGCCUGUGAAUGGACAAGUGGCACUCGGAAAUUAAAUGCAGUGCAUCCAGUGCUCAAGCUCCUGGGCUUCGUCUGCUCCACACUUUUUCCUCUGCCCUUUGGGCUAAAGCCGUUGGGUUUGGGACAAGAGAAGGGGAGAGCUGGUACCUCUUCCCUUUUUUGCCCAGGAAAGUUGUUUCUCCAUCAUUUCAUGGCUCAAAGUCAUUAAAUCUGAGUAAUUCUUACAAACCAGAUCCAGGAAGAAUCUAGGAGUGGGCUCUCUGUAGAUUAGAAUGCUUCAGGCUGCAGGUAACAGAAGACUUGACUGGAAAUGCCUUCAACAGAGAAGGGAUGUAUCAUUUUCUAGAAGGAGAAAUUCUGCAGCUGGGACGGUUCCAGGGUUGGUUUCUUUGGAAACUCAGAACUUCAUCGAGGCUCUGGAUUCAUUUCUUCUUUCUGCUGUGCCAUUUCCAGCCUGUUGACUUGGCCUGGGCCAGCUGUCCUCUCACGCUCAUGAUUGCUGCCUCUGCUCCUGCCAUCACAUACACAAGCAGUGCCUGUUCAGUGGAACAAAAGGAAAUCAAAAAGAGGAAUCACAUUGUCCUGUGUCUCUACAAUGUUUUUUUUUUUUUAAAUCAUGAAAACCGUUCCCAGAAACCCCACAACAGACUUUCUGUUUCAUCUCAUUGGCCAGAACAGUAUCACAGGAGACUACUGGGAUUGGCAUAGACUAGCUAGGAUGCACCCUUAGAGCCCGUGGAGGACGGCAGACAUCUGAGCAGAGCUGGGCCUCAGCGGGCAGGGGAUGACAGGGACUGGCAGGCAUCCUUUUGGUCACUCAGAGGACUUCCUUCAAUCCACCCAGGGCUGGUUGGCAUCAUAAACUCAGGAUGGCAGCACUUGGAUGGCUGUGGUUGCUUUGUCUCCAGUGAGUGCCCCAGGAAACCAUCUCUUCUGGUCGCCACACGGCUAUUUGGUGAGCUGCUUGCUGGGGUGAGCUGCUGCUGAAUGGGUGUGGUUGAAACUGGAAGGGUGAGGUCCCAAAGCCACUGUCUGCCCCUGGGUGACUGCAACAGGUAGCCCCCCCACCAACUUCCAGGCAAAUCCGUGGGAAAUGGAACAAGGUAUCAAGGGGAACAGGGGAGUCAGGCCACCAGGGCCCCACUGAGGAAGGCACCUGUUGCACCAUAUUUUGACGUCUUGAAUGUGUAUCCACUGGCCCAGGGAGUGGCUUAAUUACCAGUGUAAUAGCAGGUCCACUUACAGCUUCAGGUUUCGUAGAGGAAAAAGCAUCAUUGCAAAAUGCUUUUGAUGUGGUUAAGCGGUGAGGCCACAGUGAAUUUUAAGUGCUUGGUAAAGCGCAUGGAAAAAGAAAAGCACAAGUCAUACUUGGUAAAGGACAUUUCCCUUCCUAGAUGCCAGGUGUGAAAGGAUGCCAGGAAUAUUCUCUGCUCUUUCCUCCUGCUUCCUGAAGGACUGAGUCCACACUAACUAUUAUCAAACAAACAAACUUCCAGGGGAAAAGACUGCAGAACCUAUACAUUCUUUAUAAUUGGAAUCACAGCUAUACAUUCUUUAUAAUCAGAAUAACAGCUCUACAUUCUUUAUCAUCGCAGCUAUACGUUCUUUAUAAUCAGAAAGUGCUUUCUGGCCAGGCACGGUGGCUCAUGCCUGUAAUCCCAGAACUUUGGGAGGCCAAGCCAGGUGGAUCACCA